RNAcentral lists this ribosomal RNA (451 nucleotides) under uncultured bacterium. RNAcentral describes it as "partial 16S ribosomal RNA". It matches the Rfam family "Bacterial small subunit ribosomal RNA", at positions 28 to 507 of the family's 1533-position model. The record is from RNAcentral.
AGCGAACGCUGGCGGCAUGCCUAACACAUGCAAGUCGCACGGGGGGGCUUCGGCCUCCCAGUGGCGGACGGGUGAGGAACGCGUAGGGACCUGUCGAGGGGUGGGGGAUAACCGCGGGAAACUGCGGCUAAUACCGCAUGACGCCGCGGCGUGACAGCCGGGGCCAAAGGCGAAAGCCGCCCGCCGAGGGGCCUGCGUCCGAUUAGCUGGUUGGCGGGGUAGCGGCCCACCAAGGCGGCGAUCGGUAGCUGGUCUGAGAGGGUGAUCAGCCACACCGGGACUGAGACACGGCCCGGACUCCUACGGGAGGGAGCAGUGGGGAAUAUUGGACGAUGGGCGCAAGCCUGAUCCAGCAAUGCCGCGUGGGUGAAGAAGGUCUUCGGAUUGUAAAGCCCUUUCGGCGGGGACGAUGGUGACGGUACCCGCAGAAGAAGCCCCGGCUAACUUCGUG